CCUACGGGAGGCAGCAGUGGGGGAUAUUGCACAAUGGGGGGAACCCUGAUGCAGCGACGCCGCGUGGGUGAAGAAGCGCCUCGGCGCGUAAAGCCCUGUUAGCAGGGAAGAAAAUGACGGUACCUGAAGAAGAAGCCCCGGCUAACUACGUGCCAGCAGCCGCGGUAAUACGUAGGGGGCCAGCGUUAUCCGGAUUUACUGGGUGUAAAGGGGGCGCAGACGGCGGUGCAAGCCAGGAGUGAAAGCCCGGGGCCCAACCCCGGGACUGCCCUUGGAACUGCGUAGCUGGAGUGCAGGAGGGGCAGGCGGAAUUCCUGGUGUAGCGGUGAAAUGCGUAGAUAUCAGGAAGAACACCGGUGGCGAAGGCGGCCUGCUGGACUGCAACUGACGUUGAGGCCCGAAAGCGUGGGGAGCGAACAGGAUUGGAUACCCCUGUAGUC
RNAcentral lists this ribosomal RNA (440 nucleotides) under uncultured bacterium. RNAcentral describes it as "partial 16S ribosomal RNA". It matches the Rfam family "Bacterial small subunit ribosomal RNA", at positions 338 to 795 of the family's 1533-position model. The record is from RNAcentral.